GGGAACGAUAACGGCGUCGAGCGGCGGACGGGUGAGUAAUGCCUAGGAAAUUGCCCUGAUGUGGGGGAUAACCAUUGGAAACGAUGGCUAAUACCGCAUGAUGCCUACGGGCCAAAGAGGGGGACCUUCGGGCCUCUCGCGUCAGGAUAUGCCUAGGUGGGAUUAGCUAGUUGGUGAGGUAAGGGCUCACCAAGGCGACGAUCCCUAGCUGGUCUGAGAGGAUGAUCAGCCACACUGGAACUGAGACACGGUCCAGACUCCUACGGGAGGCAGCAGUGGGGAAUAUUGCACAAUGGGCGCAAGCCUGAUGCAGCCAUGCCGCGUGUGUGAAGAAGGCCUUCGGGUUGUAAAGUACUUUCAGUCGUGAGGAAGGCGGCGUCGUUAAUAGCGGCGUUGUUUGACGUUAGCGACAGAAGAAGCACCGGCUAACUCCGUGCCAGCAGCCGCGGUAAUACGGAGGGUGCGAGCGUUAAUCGGAAUUACUGGGCGUAAAGCGCAUGCAGGUGGUUUGUUAAGUCAGAUGUGAAAGCCCGGGGCUCAACCUCGGAAUAGCAUUUGAAACUGGCAGACUAGAGUACUGUAGAGGGGGGUAGAAUUUC
Molecule: ribosomal RNA, 599 nt
Filed under: Vibrio neocaledonicus
Lineage: Bacteria; Pseudomonadati; Pseudomonadota; Gammaproteobacteria; Vibrionales; Vibrionaceae
Description: bacterial SSU rRNA
Rfam family: Bacterial small subunit ribosomal RNA
Source: RNAcentral